UCUCCCUCCCAUCCACAUACGCACACCACUACAGUAUAUCAGCUAGCGACUGGCAGGGAAACGGAGGGGAGAGCAGAAAUGAAUGUGAAGAUCUUGACGCUGGUGAUUGUGCUGGUGGUUUCUCUGCUGUGUUCAGCCAGUGCUGGUCCAAUGGCCUCCACCGAGCAUAGCAAAGAGCUGGAGGAGGUGGGCAGCAUGAGGACUCCUUUGCGGCAGAAUUCCGCUCGAGCCGGCCGGAGCCAAAGACCUUCUGGUUGGAGGAGGAGACGCCCUCGACCCCGCCUCUCCCAUAAGGGGCCCAUGCCAUUUUAGAGCAAGGCACAGCUUAGAGUGCCCUCCCCCUUGGUUCUGAUUUCUAUGCUCUUCCUUUGCCUUGGGGGGCCUUGCAACAAGGGGCCUUUGCUAGCCCAGCCUGAAGAGUGAUGUCCAUAGCACCUGCUGGUUCUUCAAGCAACUCUUCUUCUGUCCACAAAAAAACCAGGACAAGCCACUCACCCUCAGCUCUAUGAAGAAUUGUGGGCCGGGAACGGGGGUGGGGGGCAUUGAGCCCGAGCUAUCAGAUUCUGUCUCUCUCUGUCUGUCUCUCUCCUCCUGUGGUUUUCCUCAUUUGCUUUCUAGAGUCCUUUCAUGGCCACACUUUGCAUGAUGUGUGAGCAGUGGGGAGCCUGGUCUAAACAGUUAUAGUCCGAAAGCGUCAGUUUCUUCUCCGAGGUGUGCUAGUCCCAUUCUCUCCAGUGUGUAGGUGACCACAGCGCUUUGACCCAUUGCUAGGUGUUGGCAACUCUUGGCUUAUAAAUGGCGUUUAUAAGGGAAGAAAGUGGCAGGGAAUCUAACGUAAAGGCAAAAAUGCUCAGGCCCAUUAUGGCCAGGCCAGCAAUGUAAAUUUUUUACAUCUUACACAAUUUACCAUCUACCUACAGCAAAAAUUGGCCAGUUAGCUUAAUAACGGCAUCACUGAGUGCAUUUACAUGGCAAACUGCUCACAAAUGCAAUGAUCAAAAAUUUUUUCUUAUAAAAUCCUGACAAAAAAAUAUUUCUUAAUGAGAUCAAUUCUGUUUAACUCAUCAAGUUUUGGCGCCAAAAUGUAUGCACAUUGUAUAAGCAUCCAGAAUGCUGAUUGUAAUGUAAAUGCAAUCAAUGUUAUCGGGUUCAGUUAUAAUUACUGAUUACAUAAUUACGUCUAAAAAUGUUGAAUGACUAUAUAAUUCAUUGGCACAUCUAUUUAAAACAGCUUGAUUACAUCUCAUAGUGCUGUCCAACGGUCAUUAUACAUCAUCCUACCAAUGAGCCUAAGAGUUGUCAGCCAUCUGAAGCUUAAGGAUAAAGCCACAGUGUCUCAUUAUCAAAAAUCACACUCCACUUCCAUGAGCGAGAGAUCAUCGUCCUGAGCCCUCUUCUCCUCCCCCAUGACACACGCUGCUUUACAGCAGAGAUACAUGACUGUUAACUGGCCAGGGUGAUCUGCUUCACAUGGCGGACCAUCUCUCUUUUUAAUGAAGUGCCAAAUAGCAAAUCUACUCCACAGUGCUGCCAGGAGAAGAAAAGUAAACAUGUUACCUCUUAUCUUGGGGGAAGCAUAACAUCUAAACAUAUGUACGCAUUUUGCCAUUUGUUUGAACACCCAAUGUAAAGGCAACGGUAGCAUGGUUUCAAGACAUUAGACCAAAAAAAAAAAAAAAAGAGAAAGAAAGAAAUUUUCUUUACAGAUCUGAUGAUUUUCCCCUUGACUGGAUUCUUUGACAGAACUCUAUGCCUUUAUUUGACAUCAUACUGGAAAUGAUUUCUCAUUCUUUUGUUGUUAUUUUUGUUAUAUUUCAGUUCAUUUCUCAGGGUGCUGUGACACAAGCCUGUAUGGUCUAUAUUACAUGCAUUUAUUUAAGAAACACACAUUAUUUGUAUUCACACCAUUUAACUUCAUGCUUAAAUAUCCACCACUUUUUAGCUACAUAUCCAGACUACGUUUUUACAAGCCAUUACUGUUUUCUCCCCAUUGGGAGCAGUUGCCUUUUGAGUUUGAGCCUCUUUGGCACAGGUGGCCACAGCCUGGUUAUUAAACCCCAUUGCUAAUCGGUUUUAAAUUGGAAUCACUAAAAUCUCUUUCAAGUCCGAUAGAGCUCACAAGACAAACUGGCAUAGAAUGACCACACCACCUUAGCGUUCAACCGAUUUAUGAUGUAAUAAUCUACAAAAAUGAGCAACUCUUGGCUUAGGCAUCGUCAAACCUUUCAGUAAGACACAAAUUAUGAGGCUGAGAUGAGACUGUUAGCCACACUCAUAAUUCCGAUGCUUAAUUAGACAAUGCAGCAAGUUAUUGCAAAUUAGCAUUUGAGUCCCAUCCCCAUUUCCUGUUAGGCGUUUCCCUGUGGUUACGAAAAGAGAGUCGUCGCGUAUAUCCACUAACAUCACCUCGCGGCAAAGUCAGCUCUUCAUAAGAGAGUGCCUAAAAACCUAUAUCGGUAAAACACCCAGCCAAGCUCACCUAGAUUAAAAAUUUAUCGAAUCUUAGGGCACUGUGCAUACUAAUAAUUCCAGUCACGCCAUGAUUAUUUUAUACCCUCUCAGACAGAGAUGUGGAUUUUAUUAACGGUUUCUCAGAAUGAUAGUGCAGUAGAUCAGAACGCAGAGAAGUUCCAAGUUUGGGCGGCUGAGUUGCAGUACACUUCAUCUGAAGAGUCUGUUAGAGGUGCGGAGUAAUGCCUGUAUCCAUACUGUUGUUCAUGAAUGUAUCUUCACCAUCCUCACCAGAGCUGAGCCGAGGGCCAUCGAGCAGUGUUUCAGUUCAGUUCAAGCCUUGAAUCUUGAAAAACUAGCCCCCUUCCCACCGAUGGAGAUGGUUAUCGUUUCAUCAAACAUCCAAAGACAAAUAUGACAAAAUCCAAAGCUUGCUAUAGCAGAGACCCCUAUCAAUCACUUGGCUUUCCUCCAACACCUCUCUGUAUGGACAUGCAAGGCUGCACUUUUGCAAUUCCAUUAUGCUGCUGGAAAAGUAAAUCCCGAAAACAAGUCUUUUGGCAUGUAAUGGUUUUCCAGUGUCUUGUGACAAUUAAAUUGACUGAUUCUUGUCUAGCUGGUUGUCCAAAGCCUACUUUUCGAUAGAGUGUGGAAAGCUGUAUUUUAUUUUUGUGUGUAUGGCCGUAUAAAAGUGUAGAAAAUAUAGUCUGCUGCACAAUAGGUCAUGGACACAAAAGAGAUUUCUCACCCUCCUCUGCCGUCAAACCUGGGCCGUCGUCCCCGUCAGCACAUCAGGUUAAUGGAGCCUGUGGUGUCAAGAGAACAAGCAUGUCCAGACUCAAAACUGAAAUGGCAAACACACACAUUACUCUUACAGAGCACAAAUCACUUUCUAUAAA
Long non-coding RNA from Sinocyclocheilus rhinocerous, 3350 nucleotides. RefSeq lists it as uncharacterized. The record is from RefSeq and is a predicted model, not a curated record. NCBI's taxonomy places the organism in Eukaryota, Metazoa, Chordata, Actinopteri, Cypriniformes, Cyprinidae. The transcript has 3 exons.